Molecule: ribosomal RNA, 404 nt
Filed under: uncultured Nitrosospira sp.
Lineage: Bacteria; Pseudomonadati; Pseudomonadota; Betaproteobacteria; Nitrosomonadales; Nitrosomonadaceae
Description: bacterial SSU rRNA
Rfam family: Bacterial small subunit ribosomal RNA
Source: RNAcentral
UGUCUGAUUAGCUAGUUGGUGAGGUAAAGGCUUACCAAGGCUUCGAUCAGUAGCUGGUCUGAGAGGACGACCAGCCACACUGGGACUGAGACACGGCCCAGACUCCUACGGGAGGCAGCAGUGGGGAAUUUUGGACAAUGGGGGAAACCCUGAUCCAGCCAUGCCGCGUGAGUGAAGAAGGCCUUCGGGUUGUAAAGCUCUUUCAGCCGGAACGAAACGGUCACGGCUAAUACCUGUGAUCACUGACGGUACCGGAAGAAGAAGCACCGGCUAACUACGUGCCAGCAGCCGCGGUAAUACGUAGGGUGCGAGCGUUAAUCGGAAUUACUGGGCGUAAAGCGUGCGCAGGCGGUUUUGUAAGUCAGAUGUGAAAUCCCCGGGCUCAACCUGGGAACUGCGUUUGA